GAUGAACGCUAGCGGCAGGCUUAAUACAUGCAAGUCGUACGGGAUCCGAGGUAGCAAUACUUUGGUGAGAGUGGCGCACGGGUGCGUAACACGUAUGCAACCUACCUUUAACCGGGACACAACCUUGAGAAAUUGAGGCUAAUAUCCCAUAACACUGCGAGAUGGCAUCAUUUUGCAGUUAAAACUCCGGUGGUUAUAGAUGGGCAUGCGCGACAUUAGCUAGUUGGUGAGGUAACGGCCCACCAAGGCUACGAUGUCUAGGGGUUCUGAGAGGAUUAUCCCCCACACUGGUACUGAGACACGGACCAGACUCCUACGGGAGGCAGCAGUAAGGAAUAUUGGUCAAUGGGCGCAAGCCUGAACCAGCCAUGCCGCGUGAAGGAUGACGGCCCUAUGGGUUGUAAACUUCUUUGUACGGGAAAAAACCUCUGGUCGUGUACCAGAGCUGAUGGUACCGUAAGAAUAAGCAUCGGCUAACUCCGUGCCAGCAGCCGCGGUAAAG
This 502-nucleotide ribosomal RNA is filed under the name uncultured bacterium. Its description in RNAcentral is "bacterial SSU rRNA". It matches the Rfam family "Bacterial small subunit ribosomal RNA", at positions 28 to 525 of the family's 1533-position model. The record is from RNAcentral.